This 253-nucleotide ribosomal RNA is filed under the name uncultured bacterium. RNAcentral describes it as "partial 16S ribosomal RNA". It matches the Rfam family "Bacterial small subunit ribosomal RNA", at positions 524 to 776 of the family's 1533-position model. The record is from RNAcentral.
UACGUAGGGUGCGAGCGUUGUCCGGAAUCAUUGGGCGUAAAGCGCGUGUAGGCGGUUCGGUAAGUCUGCUGUGAAAGUCCAGGGCUCAACCCUGGGAUGCCGGUGGAUACUGUCGGACUAGAGUACGGAAGAGGCGAGUGGAAUUCCCGGUGUAGCGGUGAAAUGCGCAGAUAUCGGGAGGAACACCAAUUGCGAAGGCAGCUCGCUGGGACGUCACUGACGCUGAGACGCGAAAGCGUGGGGAGCGAACAGG